This 472-nucleotide ribosomal RNA is filed under the name uncultured Anaerolineaceae bacterium. RNAcentral's name for it is "bacterial SSU rRNA". It matches the Rfam family "Bacterial small subunit ribosomal RNA", at positions 898 to 1382 of the family's 1533-position model. The record is from RNAcentral. Lineage: Bacteria; Bacillati; Chloroflexota; Anaerolineae; Anaerolineales; Anaerolineaceae.
AACUUAAAGGAAGUUGACGGGACCCGCACAAGCAGCGGAGCGUGUGGUUUAAUUCGUUGCUACACGAAGAACCUUACCUAGGUUUGACAUAUAGGUUGUAGGGAACUGAAAAGGGACCGACCCUUCGGGGAGCCUAUACAGGUGUUGCAUGGCUGUCGUCAGCUCGUGUCGUGAGAUGUUCGGUUAAGUCCGCUAACGAGCGCAACCCUCGUCGUAUGUUACAAGUGUCAUACGAGACUGCCGGUAAAAAGUCGGAGGAAGGUGAGGAUGAUGUCAAGUCAGCAUGACCUUUAUAUCUAGGGCUACACACACGCUACAAUGGUCUGUACAAUGGGUUGCCAAGCCGCGAGGCGGAGCCAAUCCUAAAAAGCAGGCCUCAGUUCAGAUUGCAGUCUGCAACCCGACUGCAUGAAGCCGGAGUUGCUAGUAACCGCAGGUCAGCAAUACUGCGGUGAAUACGUUCCCGGGUCUU